RNAcentral lists this ribosomal RNA (253 nucleotides) under uncultured bacterium. RNAcentral describes it as "partial 16S ribosomal RNA". It matches the Rfam family "Bacterial small subunit ribosomal RNA", at positions 524 to 776 of the family's 1533-position model. The record is from RNAcentral.
UACGUAGGGGGCAAGCGUUGUCCGGAUUUAUUGGGCGUAAAGAGCGUGUAGGCGGCCCGGUAAGUCCGCCGUGAAAGUCCAGGCUCAACCCUGGGAUGCCGGUGGAAACUGUCGGGCUCGAGUCCGGAAGAGGCGAGUGGAAUUCCUGGUGUAGCGGUGAAAUGCGCAGAUAUCAGGAGGAACACCAAUGCGAAGGCGGCUCUCUGGUACGUGACUGACGCUGAGACGCGAAAAGCGUGGGGGAGCAAACAGG